RNAcentral lists this ribosomal RNA (469 nucleotides) under uncultured bacterium. RNAcentral describes it as "partial 16S ribosomal RNA". It matches the Rfam family "Bacterial small subunit ribosomal RNA", at positions 28 to 507 of the family's 1533-position model. The record is from RNAcentral.
GACGAACGCUGGCGGCGUGCUUAACACAUGCAAGUCGAACGGAAAGGCCCUGCUUGCAGGGUGCUCGAGUGGUGAUCGGGUGAGUAACAGGUGGGUGAUCUGCCCCUGACCUUCGGAUAAGCCUGGGAAACUGGGUCUAAUACUGGUCAGGACCACGCUGUAAGUGCUGUGUUGGGGAGAUUAGUUUCGGUGAGUGUUGAGGUCGCGGCCUAUAAGCGUGGUGGUGGGGUAAUGGUCUACCAGGGCGUGGACGGGUAGCCGGCCUGAGAGGGAGGACGGCCGGAUUGGGACUGAGAGACGGGCCGGAGUCCGACGGGAGGCAGCAGGGAGGAAUAUUGGACAAGGGGCGCAAGCCUGAUGCAGGGAGGCCGUGGGGGGGAUGAGGGCCGUCGGGUUGGAAACUCGGUUCAGCCACGACGAAGGACGUGUGGUGACGGUAGUGGUAGAAGAAGCACCGGCUAACUACGUG